CAUGGCAACGCGGCCUGGCUGCCCCGCGGCCCGCCCGGGGCCGGGCCCCGCUGUCCGUGUCCCUCGCGACCCCCGCACCCCUCCAGCGAAUCCUCCAUCAGCCCUUUUCCCACCCUCCGCUUUCCCCCUUCUGGGGCUUCCGGGCUGGCCUCGCCGCUGUGCUGGUGUUGGACCAGGCCGCGGUUGAGUCAAAGAAAUCUGGGAAACCCAACUUGAAGAGGCCCACAGAGAUCUCACCUGGAGACAGGGAGAUCUUCCCUUGUCCCCCCUGAGGAGACCUCCCACCCCCGGUGCUGCAGUUUUCUCACCUGGUGCACCACAUCCUUGUUCCACAGUCUCGUGACUCACCUCACUGCAAUCUGCUGUCAUUCCCUUUGCUACUUCAUUACGUAAAAUGAAUAAAAUUAAUGAUUUCUGGGACAUG
Lonchura striata (white-rumped munia) is the source of this 424-nucleotide long non-coding RNA. RefSeq lists it as uncharacterized. Lineage: Eukaryota; Metazoa; Chordata; Aves; Passeriformes; Estrildidae. The record is from RefSeq and is a predicted model, not a curated record.